This 348-nucleotide unclassified non-coding RNA is filed under the name soil metagenome. Its description in RNAcentral is "partial contains 5.8S ribosomal RNA, internal transcribed spacer 2, and large subunit ribosomal RNA". The stretch from base 1 to 123 matches the Rfam family "5.8S ribosomal RNA", at positions 35 to 154 of the family's 154-position model. The record is from RNAcentral.
GAUGAAGAACGUAGCGAAAUGCGAUACGUAAUGUGAAUUGCAGAUCUCUCAGUGAACCAUCGAAUUUUUGAACGCACAUAGCGCCCGCCGGUCAUUCCGGCGGGCAUGCCUGUCCGAGCGUCAUUGCUGCCCUCAAGCACGGCUUGUGUGUUGGGCCUCCGUCCUCCUCCCGGGGGACGGGCCCGAAAGGCAGCGGCGGCACCGCGUCCGGUCCUCGAGCGUAUGGGGCUUCGUCACCCGCUCUUGUAGGCCCGGCCGGCGCUUGCCGACACAUCAAUCUUUUUUCCAGGUUGACCUCGGAUCAGGUAGGGAUACCCGCUGAACUUAAGCAUAUCAAUAAGCGGAGGA